This 402-nucleotide ribosomal RNA is filed under the name uncultured bacterium. Its description in RNAcentral is "bacterial SSU rRNA". It matches the Rfam family "Bacterial small subunit ribosomal RNA", at positions 355 to 774 of the family's 1533-position model. The record is from RNAcentral.
UGGGGAAUAUUGGACAAUGGGGGAAACCCUGAUCCAGCAAUGCCGCGUGAGUGAAGAAGGCCUUAGGGUUGUAAAGCUCUUUCGCCCGCGAAGAUAAUGACGGUAGCGGGAGAAGAAGCCCCGGCUAACUCCGUGCCAGCAGCCGCGGUAAUACGGAGGGGGCUAGCGUUGUUCGGAAUUACUGGGCGUAAAGCGUACGUAGGCGGAUGCGCAAGUUGGGGGUGAAAUCCCGGGGCUUAACCUCGGAAUUGCCCUCAAAACUGCACGUCUUGACACCGAGAGAGGUAAGGGGAAUUCCUAGUGUAGAGGUGAAAUUCGUAGAUAUUAGGAAGAACACCAGUGGCGAAGGCGCCUUACUGGCUCGGUACUGACGCUGAGGUACGAAAGCGUGGGGAGCAAACA